CGUGUAGGCGGCCUCUUAAGUCUGGUGUGAAAGCCCGGGGCUUACCCCCGGAAGGGCACUGGAAACUGGGAGGCUAGAGUACCGGAGAGGAGGGUGGAAUUCCUGGUGUAGCGGUGAAAUGCGUAGAUAUCAGGAGGAACACCGGUGGCGAAGGCGGCCCUCUGGACGGAUACUGACGCUGAGACGCGAAAGCGUGGGGAGCAAACAGGAUUAGAUACCCUGGUAGUCCACGCUGUAAACGAUGGGCACUAGGUGUUCGGGGUAUUGACCCCCUGAGUGCCGCAGCUAACGCAUUAAGUGCCCCGCCUGGGGACUACGGCCGCAAGGUUAAA
This 332-nucleotide ribosomal RNA is filed under the name uncultured bacterium. RNAcentral describes it as "bacterial SSU rRNA". It matches the Rfam family "Bacterial small subunit ribosomal RNA", at positions 568 to 898 of the family's 1533-position model. The record is from RNAcentral.